UUAAGCGACUAAGCGUACACGGUGGAUGCCCUGGCAGUCAGAGGCGAUGAAGGACGUGCUAAUCUGCGAUAAGCGUCGGUAAGGUGAUAUGAACCGUUAUAACCGGCGAUUUCCGAAUGGGGAAACCCAGUGUGUUUCGACACACUAUCAUUAACUGAAUCCAUAGGUUAAUGAGGCGAACCGGGGGAACUGAAACAUCUAAGUACCCCGAGGAAAAGAAAUCAACCGAGAUUCCCCCAGUAGCGGCGAGCGAACGGGGAGCAGCCCAGAGCCUGAAUCAGUGUGUGUGUUAGUGGAAGCGUCUGGAAAGGCGCGCGAUACAGGGUGACAGCCCCGUACACAAAAAUACACAUACUGUGAGCUCGAUGAGUAGGGGCGGGACACGUGGUAUCCUGUCUGAAUAUGGGGGGACCAUCCUCCAAGGCUAAAUACUCCUGACUGACCGAUAGUGAACCAGUACCGUGAGGGAAAGGCGAAAAGAACCCCGGCGAGGGGAGUGAAAAAGAACCUGAAACCGUGUACGUACAAGCAGUGGGAGCACGCUUAGGCGUGUGACUGCGUACCUUUUGUAUAAUGGGUCAGCGACUUAUAUUCUGUAGCAAGGUUAACCGAAUAGGGGAGCCGAAGGGAAACCGAGUCUUAACUGGGCGUUAAGUUGCAGGGUAUAGACCCGAAACCCGGUGAUCUAGCCAUGGGCAGGUUGAAGGUUGGGUAACACUAACUGGAGGACCGAACCGACUAAUGUUGAAAAAUUAGCGGAUGACUUGUGGCUGGGGGUGAAAGGCCAAUCAAACCGGGAGAUAGCUGGUUCUCCCCGAAAGCUAUUUAGGUAGCGCCUCGUGAAUUCAUCUCCGGGGGUAGAGCACUGUUUCGGCAAGGGGGUCAUCCCGACUUACCAACCCGAUGCAAACUGCGAAUACCGGAGAAUGUUAUCACGGGAGACACACGGCGGGUGCUAACGUCCGUCGUGAAGAGGGAAACAACCCAGACCGCCAGCUAAGGUCCCAAAGUCAUGGUUAAGUGGGAAACGAUGUGGGAAGGCCCAGACAGCCAGGAUGUUGGCUUAGAAGCAGCCAUCAUUUAAAGAAAGCGUAAUAGCUCACUGGUCGAGUCGGCCUGCGCGGAAGAUGUAACGGGGCUAAACCAUGCACCGAAGCUGCGGCAGCGACGCUGAUGCGUUGUUGGGUAGGGGAGCGUUCUGUAAGCCUGCGAAGGUGUGCUGUGAGGCAUGCUGGAGGUAUCAGAAGUGCGAAUGCUGACAUAAGUAACGAUAAAGCGGGUGAAAAGCCCGCUCGCCGGAAGACCAAGGGUUCCUGUCCAACGUUAAUCGGGGCAGGGUGAGUCGACCCCUAAGGCGAGGCCGAAAGGCGUAGUCGAUGGGAAACAGGUUAAUAUUCCUGUACUUGGUGUUACUGCGAAGGGGGGACGGAGAAGGCUAUGUUGGCCGGGCGACGGUUGUCCCGGUUUAAGCGUGUAGGCUGGUUUUCCAGGCGAAUCCGGAAAAUCAAGGCUGAGGCGUGAUGACGAGGCACUACGGUGCUGAAGCAACAAAUGCCCUGCUUCCAGGAAAAGCCUCUAAGCAUCAGGUAACAUCAAAUCGUACCCCAAACCGACACAGGUGGUCAGGUAGAGAAUACCAAGGCGCUUGAGAGAACUCGGGUGAAGGAACUAGGCAAAAUGGUGCCGUAACUUCGGGAGAAGGCACGCUGAUAUGUAGGUGAAGUCCCUCGCGGAUGGAGCUGAAAUCAGUCGAAGAUACCAGCUGGCUGCAACUGUUUAUUAAAAACACAGCACUGUGCAAACACGAAAGUGGACGUAUACGGUGUGACGCCUGCCCGGUGCCGGAAGGUUAAUUGAUGGGGUCAGCGCAAGCGAAGCUCUUGAUCGAAGCCCCGGUAAACGGCGGCCGUAACUAUAACGGUCCUAAGGUAGCGAAAUUCCUUGUCGGGUAAGUUCCGACCUGCACGAAUGGCGUAAUGAUGGCCAGGCUGUCUCCACCCGAGACUCAGUGAAAUUGAACUCGCUGUGAAGAUGCAGUGUACCCGCGGCAAGACGGAAAGACCCCGUGAACCUUUACUAUAGCUUGACACUGAACAUUGAGCCUUGAUGUGUAGGAUAGGUGGGAGGCUUUGAAGUGUGGACGCCAGUCUGCAUGGAGCCGGCCUUGAAAUACCACCCUUUAAUGUUUGAUGUUCUAACGUUGACCCGUAAUCCGGGUUGCGGACAGUGUCUGGUGGGUAGUUUGACUGGGGCGGUCUCCUCCUAAAGAGUAACGGAGGAGCACGAAGGUUGGCUAAUCCUGGUCGGACAUCAGGAGGUUAGUGCAAUGGCAUAAGCCAGCUUGACUGCGAGCGUGACGGCGCGAGCAGGUGCGAAAGCAGGUCAUAGUGAUCCGGUGGUUCUGAAUGGAAGGGCCAUCGCUCAACGGAUAAAAGGUACUCCGGGGAUAACAGGCUGAUACCGCCCAAGAGUUCAUAUCGACGGCGGUGUUUGGCACCUCGAUGUCGGCUCAUCACAUCCUGGGGCUGAAGUAGGUCCCAAGGGUAUGGCUGUUCGCCAUUUAAAGUGGUACGCGAGCUGGGUUUAGAACGUCGUGAGACAGUUCGGUCCCUAUCUGCCGUGGGCGCUGGAGAACUGAGGGGGGCUGCUCCUAGUACGAGAGGACCGGAGUGGACGCAUCACUGGUGUUCGGGUUGUCAUGCCAAUGGCACUGCCCGGUAGCUAAAUGCGGAAGAGAUAAGUGCUGAAAGCAUCUAAGCACGAAACUUGCCCCGAGAUGAGUUCUCCCUGACUCCUUGAGAGUCCUGAAGGAACGUUGAAGACGACGACGUUGAUAGGCCGGGUGUGUAAGCGCAGCGAUGCGUUGAGCUAACCGGUACUAAUGAACCGUGAGGCUUAACCUU
RNAcentral lists this ribosomal RNA (2903 nucleotides) under Escherichia coli. RNAcentral describes it as "bacterial LSU rRNA". It matches the Rfam family "Bacterial large subunit ribosomal RNA". The record is from RNAcentral. Lineage: Bacteria; Pseudomonadati; Pseudomonadota; Gammaproteobacteria; Enterobacterales; Enterobacteriaceae.